Molecule: ribosomal RNA, 200 nt
Filed under: uncultured organism
Description: partial small subunit ribosomal RNA
Rfam family: Bacterial small subunit ribosomal RNA
Source: RNAcentral
UCAAGUCAUCCAUCGCCCUUAUGCCUUGGGCUGCAAACAUGCUACAAUGGCCGGUACAGAGGGCUGCUAGACCGUGAGGUGGAGCGAAUCCCUAAAAGCCGGUCUCAGUUCGGAUUGGGGUCUGCAACUCGACCCCAUGAAGUCGGAGUCGCUAGUAAUCGCAGAUCAGCAAUGCUGCGGUGAAUACGUUCCCGGGCCUU